Molecule: long non-coding RNA, 1839 nt
Organism: Cyanistes caeruleus (blue tit)
Lineage: Eukaryota; Metazoa; Chordata; Aves; Passeriformes; Paridae
Source: Ensembl
UUCAGUGCAGCAGCACUCGGGGCUGGUGAAUCCCACCCUUGGCUGCUCCGAGGGGCACGGCUCGGCCUGGGGAUGUGCUUGAGAAGGGGCUCUGGAUGGGCUGGGGGUGGAUCCAGGGAGAGGCGCUCCAGAAGGUGCUGGUUUGGGGAGGUUUGUGGGUUUGGAAGAUGCUGGCUGGGGAGGGAUGUGGGUUGGGUGACAGAUGUUCAUUCAGGAGAUGUGGUUUUGGGAAGGAUGCAGAUUUUGGGAAGGGUGCUGGCUUGGGGGGUGAUGCUGGUUUGGGAAAGAAGGAGAUUUUGGGAAGGGUGCUGGCUUGGGGGGUGAUGCUGGUUUGGGAUGGAUGUGGAUUUUGGGAGAUGUGCUGGUUUCAGAGAUUUGCUGGUCUGGGAGCAACACUAAUUUUGGGAGGGAUAAGGGUUUGGAAGGUGCUGCUUUAGAGAAGGCUGUUUAUUUGGAGGAUUCUGAUUUGGGAUUGAUGCUGGUUUGGAAAGGGUGCAGAUUUUGGGAAGGGAUGCUGGCCUGAAGGGAUGCUGGUUUGGGAAGUGGUGUUUGUUUGGAGCAUGCUGGUCCAGGAGGGAUGCUGCUUUGGGGAGGGAUGCUGAUUUGGGGAUGCUGGUUUAGGGAGGGAUGCUGGUUUGGGGAUGCUGGUUUAGGGAGGGAUGCUGAUUUGGGGAUGCUGAUUUAGGGAGGGAUGAUGCUUUGGGGAUGCUGACUUGACUGAUGCUGCUCUGGGACGAGAUAUUGGAGGGGAGUGAUGGGGUUGGGGCUGGGAGAGAACCCCAGGUGCACAAAACCACCCCAAAACUCAGGGGCUGGGCUGCAGCACCGGGGUUCAGGGCAGGACCCUGUCCCCAAAGUGAUCCAUCAGUGCCACCCAUGGCUCUCCUGCCUCUUUCCCCUCUUCUCCAACAAACCAGAAGGCACAGGAACCAGCAGGAGAGGGGGAGACCAAAAGAAAAGGCACCUUUGGGCUUGGCACCAGCACACUCGUGUCACCCAUGGGCUGUCAAAAGCAUCCACACAGGAAAAACACCACCAGGAACCCCCUGCCCCACCCAGCCACGAAUAUUCCUGUUCCCAAAUCCCUUUUCCAGCCACACCGAGGGCAACCUCAGCAACGUGAAAUCAAUAUGCAGAGAGGAAUCCGGUGCCUAGUGCUUUGAAAAGCUCCACAGGAAGCAGGGAGCAAUGCUGGAGGGGGGCAGAGCACGGCUUUGCCCCCCCCGGGGAAACUGAGGCACGCAGGGGAGCAUUUUAUGGAUCAGUGCUGGGGGAGUCCCAGCUCCUGCCGUGUGAUUUUGGAGCACGGACCAAGCCGGGGGUGACAGACCUGGGCUCUGGGGCUUCUGCUGGGUAAAAUGAGGGCGAUUUCCCCCCCUCACGGGGGGCUGAAGGUGGCCACAGCCCCUGACUCAGCUCGCCCUGGGACCGAGGGAGCGGCGAGUUCCCAGAUUUGCCCCGUGACGCUGAAUCAGCCCCGCGGGGCAGCCCUGGGGGAUUUAAUGACCGCUAUCAUUAGCACCAGCCUCGAUUCCCCAUCCAAACCCAUCCCUGCACAGCGGGAGCCCAAACCCACUUGCGUUGCAGGGCCGAGGAGGACGCAAAACCCCUCGGCUGGGAAAACUUUUCUUUAAAAGAACCCCAAAUGUCAGCUCUAAAUUGGGUGUUACGCGCUCGUGCUCCGUCUCUUCAUUACUGUAUCGUAAAAUUACAUUAGGCAGGAACGAUCUGCAUUCAAAUGACUCUGUGUCUGGAAUGAUAACGCAGGAAUAUGAGAUUAAAAUGUAAUUAUGCUCUUUAAAGUCAAGGAAGGUUAAUAAAAUGUUUUUCCAAGUUGCA